AUAUGAGUUUGUAAUCUAUCACCUUAAUUCCGGAGGAUGUUGAGGCCAUUGAUUGCAAUACUCUAAGAAGGUCUCUUCAUCACCGGACUCAUAAGCCGGAAUCACCAGCGGAGGAUCCACCGUAAAAUCGAAAACCUCUUUCCAAUCACGCACGUUUUUCGUAUGUUCAGUAUCAUAGUAACCUAAGGGAUUCACUUCAUCUCGUUUCACCUUCCUCUUCUCCUCCACCGACAGAUCAAAAAACCUCUUCGAAGCCGAAAAUACCCUUUCACGGCUCUCGAUAGGAACCCCGUGGUUGAUCACUUGAAAGAAUCCCCAAUCUCUGCUGGCGUCACGGAUUUGAUCCACCAAAUCACGUAUCUCCGGAGCAUUAGGGUUAGCUGGAGAUGAGGUUACAAAAGCAGAUAGAUCGAUUUGCGGGAUUCCUUGAGCUUCGAUUACUGCGGGUUUGGGUCGGUGUUCGAGCUCUUGGAUGAAGGUUGUAGUGAAGACGUGUGUCUAUAUUAAUUACUGUGACGACGUAAACAUGGUUGGUGUUAUGAAUCUGGACGUGUUUUUGUGCUGUGUGCUUUGA
Molecule: long non-coding RNA, 574 nt
Filed under: Helianthus annuus (common sunflower)
Lineage: Eukaryota; Viridiplantae; Streptophyta; Magnoliopsida; Asterales; Asteraceae
Description: hypothetical non coding rna
Source: RNAcentral